RNAcentral lists this transfer RNA (82 nucleotides) under Caenorhabditis remanei. It matches the Rfam family "tRNA". From Rfam's summary of the family: Transfer RNA (tRNA) molecules are approximately 80 nucleotides in length. Their secondary structure includes four short double-helical elements and three loops (D, anti-codon, and T loops). The record is from Rfam by way of RNAcentral. Lineage: Eukaryota; Metazoa; Nematoda; Chromadorea; Rhabditida; Rhabditidae.
GGGCCUGUGGUGUAAUGGUAGCACGUCGGGCAAGGACUAAUAACCCUAGCUGGAAGCGUUGGUUCGAUUCCUUCCGGGUCCA